This 258-nucleotide ribosomal RNA is filed under the name uncultured Actinomyces sp. Its description in RNAcentral is "partial 16S ribosomal RNA". It matches the Rfam family "Bacterial small subunit ribosomal RNA", at positions 249 to 527 of the family's 1533-position model. The record is from RNAcentral. Lineage: Bacteria; Bacillati; Actinomycetota; Actinomycetes; Actinomycetales; Actinomycetaceae.
UCACGUCGAGCGUAUGCCUACAAGCUACGAUAGGUAAUCGACCUUGAAAAGGUGACCGGGCACAUUGGACUGAGAUACGGCCCAGACUCCUACGGGAGGCAGCAGCUGAGAAUCUUCCACAAUGUACGAAAGUCUGAUGGAGCGACAUCGCGUGAGGGAUGAAGGCCUUCGGGUUGUAAACCUCUUAAAUUAUCGAAGAAUGAGUGACAGUAGAUAAUGUAAGCCUCGGCUAACUACGUGCCAUAGCCGCGGCCGACG